Molecule: long non-coding RNA, 225 nt
Filed under: Mytilus galloprovincialis (Mediterranean mussel)
Lineage: Eukaryota; Metazoa; Mollusca; Bivalvia; Mytilida; Mytilidae
Source: RNAcentral
AAUGUUCUCGUACGAUCGGGAGACGUUAAAAAAAUGACCCAACAACUGAUUCAGCCGGUAACGAAUUUCCGAUAUCAUAAAAGAUUCACAAUAAAAAGGGAACUUCCUCUGCUUAAUUGAGCCCCUAAAUAAAUGUGAAUAGUUGAGUUUUAUUCAAAAUUGUCGAAAGCAAAGUUUCAUAUGUGUUCUCGUACGAAUACUGAAUAACAGAUGGACGGCCACACG